Molecule: ribosomal RNA, 231 nt
Filed under: uncultured Staphylococcus sp.
Lineage: Bacteria; Bacillati; Bacillota; Bacilli; Caryophanales; Staphylococcaceae
Description: partial 16S ribosomal RNA
Rfam family: Bacterial small subunit ribosomal RNA
Source: RNAcentral
AGUAACACGUGGAUAACCUACCUAUAAGACUGGGAUAACUUCGGGAAACCGGAGCUAAUACCGGAUAAUAUAUUGAACUGCAUGGUUCAAUAGUGAAAGACGGUUUUGCUGUCACUUAUAGAUGGAUCCGCGCCGCAUUAGCUAGUUGGUAAGGUAACGGCUUACCAAGGCAACGAUGCGUAGCCGACCUGAGAGGGUGAUCGGCCACACUGGAACUGAGACACGGUCCAG